RNAcentral lists this ribosomal RNA (777 nucleotides) under uncultured Neocallimastigales. RNAcentral's name for it is "partial large subunit ribosomal RNA". It matches the Rfam family "Eukaryotic large subunit ribosomal RNA", at positions 24 to 627 of the family's 3401-position model. The record is from RNAcentral. Lineage: Eukaryota; Fungi; Neocallimastigomycota; Neocallimastigomycetes; Neocallimastigales.
UAUCUCUGUAGAGUCUGCAUAUCAAUAAGCGGAGGAAAAGAAACUAACUAGGAUUCCCUCAGUAACGGCGAGUGAAGCGGGAAGAGCUCAAAUUUGAAAUCUUCAAGGUUCUACCUUGACGAAUUGUAGUUUAAAGAAGUGUUUUCUGUUGGAGUUUUGGUAAAAGUUCUUUGGAAUAGGACAUCAUAGAGGGUGAGAAUCCCGUAUUUGACCAUUAUUUCAGCUGUGUGAUACACUUUCAAAGAGUCGGAUUAGUUUGGGAAUGCAGUCCAAAAUGGGUGGUAAAUUUCCAUCUAAAGCUAAAUACUGGCGAGAGACCGAUAGCGAACAAGUACCGUGAGGGAAAGAUGAAAAGAACUUUGAAAAGAGAGUUAAACAGUACGUGAAAUUGUCAAAAGGGAAGCGUUUGACACCAGUGUUGUUUUCUCGAAAAUCAAUUAAAAAAGGCAGGAUUUUGUGUUGUAUUGACUUUAUCAGCUUUCUGCACUCUUUUCUUGUCUUUUUUAAUGCACUUUUCCGUUUAACAAGUCAACAUCCAAUUUCUUUUGUUGUAAAAGGGUCAUUGGAAGGUGGCUUUCUUUUCGGAGAAAGUGUUUAUAGCCUUUGGCCUCUGCAAUCGGAGAGAUUGAGGUCUGCAGCGUAGAUCCUUCGGGGUUAGAUACAUUUGUGCUAGGUUAUAGCCUUUCAUAGACAACUUGUUGACUAUGAUCAGUCAUGUAGCUUACUCGCUUAUGCUAUUUUACCUACGCUUAGGAUGUUGACGAUCAGCUGAGCGCG